AGUGAACGCUGGCGGUAGGCCUAACACAUGCAAGUCGAACGGCAGCACAGUAAGAGCUUGCUCUUACGGGUGGCGAGUGGCGGACGGGUGAGGAAUACAUCGGAAUCUACUUUUUCGUGGGGGAUAACGUAGGGAAACUUACGCUAAUACCGCAUACGACCUACGGGUGAAAGCAGGGGAUCUUCGGACCUUGCGCGAUUGAAUGAGCCGAUGUCGGAUUAGCUAGUUGGCGGGGUAAAGGCCCACCAAGGCGCCGAUCCGUAGCUGGUCUGAGAGGAUGAUCAGCCACACGGGAACUGAGACACGGUCCAGACUCCGACGGGAGGCAGCAGUGGGGAAUAUUGGACAAUGGGCGCAAGCCUGAUCCAGCCAUACCGCGGGGGUGAAGAAGGCCUUCGGGUUGUAAAGCCCUUUUGUUGGGAAAGAAAAGCAGCAGGUUAAUACCCCGCUGUUCUGACGGUACCCAAAGAAUAAGCACCGGCUAACUUCGG
This 491-nucleotide ribosomal RNA is filed under the name uncultured bacterium. RNAcentral's name for it is "partial 16S ribosomal RNA". It matches the Rfam family "Bacterial small subunit ribosomal RNA", at positions 29 to 506 of the family's 1533-position model. The record is from RNAcentral.